AUUUUCAGGUCUGUUAUCCGAGCUCCA
Molecule: non-coding RNA, 27 nt
Filed under: Cricetulus griseus (Chinese hamster)
Lineage: Eukaryota; Metazoa; Chordata; Mammalia; Rodentia; Cricetidae
Source: RNAcentral